Molecule: ribosomal RNA, 253 nt
Filed under: uncultured bacterium
Lineage: Bacteria
Description: partial 16S ribosomal RNA
Rfam family: Bacterial small subunit ribosomal RNA
Source: RNAcentral
UACGUAGGGUGCGAGCGUUGUCCGGAAUCAUUGGGCGUAAAGCGCGCGUAGGUGGCCUCGUAAGUCCGCUGUGAAAGUCAAAGGCUCAACCUUUGAAAGCCGGUGGAUACUGUGAGGCUAGAGUACGGAAGAGGCGAGUGGAAUUCCUGGUGUAGCGGUGGAAUGCGCAGAUAUCAGGAGGAACACCAAUAGCGAAGGCAGCUCGCUGGGACGUUACUGACACUGAGGCGCGAAAGCGUGGGGAGCGAACAGG